AACGCACCUUGCGCUCCCUGGCAUUCCAGGGAGCAUGCCUGUUUGAGUGUCACGUAAUCAUCUCGACCUUGCAAUUUGUUUUGCAUGGGAGAGGACUUGGACCGUGCUGGAAUCCGGCUCGUCCUGAAAUUCAUUAGCCUGGUCUGAAGCUGGCCCUUCCGGUGUGAUAGACAUCUACGCCAAUGGGUGCUGCUUUUCAUUAUCCUGGCUUCUAAAAAACCAAUCAACCAUAAUGCUCUGGCCUCAAAUCAGGUAGGACUACCCGCUGAACUUAA
This 275-nucleotide unclassified non-coding RNA is filed under the name uncultured fungus. Its description in RNAcentral is "sequence contains ITS2". The stretch from base 1 to 52 matches the Rfam family "5.8S ribosomal RNA", at positions 103 to 154 of the family's 154-position model. Lineage: Eukaryota; Fungi. The record is from RNAcentral.